GCGGCGCGUUUUAAGCAUGCAAGUCGAGCGGUAAGCUAACUUCGGUUAGCCUAGAGCGGCGGACGGGUGAGUAACGCGUGGGCAACCUGCCCUAUACAAAGGGAUAGCCACUGGAAACGGUGAUUAAUACCUUAUAAGACUACAGAGACACAUGUCUCAGUAGUCAAAGCUCCGGCGGUAUAGGAUGGGCCCGCGUUUGAUUAGCUAGUUGGUGGGGUAAUGGCUCACCAAGGCGACGAUCAAUAGCCGACCUGAGAGGGUGAUC
Molecule: ribosomal RNA, 265 nt
Filed under: uncultured bacterium
Lineage: Bacteria
Description: partial 16S ribosomal RNA
Rfam family: Bacterial small subunit ribosomal RNA
Source: RNAcentral